GUUGCAACUCUACCUUUGCCAGUUGCAAGUCUGGAUGAGAAAGAGGAGCACAAC
Molecule: non-coding RNA, 54 nt
Filed under: unclassified sequences
Source: RNAcentral